AAGGCCGUGUCCAGGGCUGCGCCCAGGUCCCUACUCUGCCCGGGGCGGGUUUGCGGGCCAAGCUGGGUGAUGGGCUCCUGCCCCCUCCGCCCCCUACCUGCUCCCUGUGCCAGGGGAGAAACCAAGGCCCAGAGUUCACCCGGGGGCGGUGAGAUUCCAGACUGAGGAGGGGGCACUCGCCCCCGUUCGUCGUCCCACCCCCACCAGACUCCGUAGGGUGCCAGGGACGGGGAGAGAGCGAUCCCCCGCCCAAGGCCCCGCUGCCCCUUACUGUUUUGGGCGCUGUGCCUGGGAGGCUGAGGCACCCCGCGCCCUCGCCCGCGCCCAGCUGGUCUACUCUCGGGGCUGGGGCGUCGGCGCGGCCCCGGCCGCACCUGGAAAGGAAGGGGUCUUGGGAAUCUCUGGAGCAGCGUGGGGACCCUACUCCUUGUGGAAGCAGCGAUUCAGUGUGUGUUAACAGUGUGGAUGCCGGUCCCGCUCCCCCUCUGGGUGGCGGGGGUGGGGGUAGCAGGAAGGGGUCUUGAGCAACCAUGUUGUUUGUUAACUUAAACGUUUGUGCGGCGCUGUGUACCGGUCGCUGUGGACGCGAUCUCUGGUGCUGAGGGGAUUUGAGGGUUCCUCACACUGGCGGGAUUUGGAGCCUCUACCCUGGUGGCAGUGGGUUUAGUGGGUUACCCUGGUGGCUAGUGGUUAAGUGCUAAGGCUGCUAGCCAAAAGGUUGGCAGUUUGAAUCCACCAGGCGCUCCUUGGAAACUCUGUGGGGCAGUUCUACUCUGUCCUAUAGGGUCGCUAUGAGUCAGAAUUGACUCGAUGGCCACAGGUGUGGUUUUUUUUUUUUUUUUAGGUUGGAGAUUAGGUGUCUCUCGGGCUGACAUUUGAAGGUCUGGAGCUGGCCGUUUAUGAGGGUUUAUAAGGGUUUUAAGUGCUCCGGCCAUGGGCACCAACCCGAUCUUCCAGCCCCUGCGGACGGACCGCCUCCCCCGCCCCGGGGGGAUUGGCUGCUCUGGGACCCCGAGCCCAGAGGGCGGUGAGAAGCUGACAAACCUUAAAUACAGACCAGAAGAGGAGUUUGGGGCUUGACACCUGACGUCUUAACACCAGUUCCUGUUUCUUGAGGAAGGAAGAGGUAAAAUAAAUCAGCGUUUACUGUGUCCUUCUCCAUCCCCGGAAGUCUUCAUGAAGACCCUCUCAGCUUCUACUUGAACGUGAAUAUGAGCAACUGAUCAUCUGUUCUGCGGUCAGCCCCUGGCCUGAUUCUGACUCAUGAUAUUGACCUUCUCCAUCAUCACCUUCCACAAAUUUGAUUCCUAUCUAUUCUGCCUGGAAUAGUUCAUGAGUAUAGUCACCAUUUAUGUUCCUGACGAAAGACAUUAUGCUCAUUCUCAGGGCCCUGAGACCUCAUCUGCAGCAGGUGAAGGCAUUCGUGGAGAGAGGCGGUUUCCGUGCGUGCAGGCAAAGUGUGUGCUGAGAUGAGUCGCUGGAGACUGGGGUGGACUCCUCAGACCCAGGAUAGGCCUCUGGCAGGCAUUCUAUCAGGCAUUCCAAGCUGUGAAGUGCCUGGGAGGAGAAGGAAGAGAUUUCAGAGAAUGAACACAUACAGAGAGACAGGCAAGAGACGGUGAGUGGGGAUGUCUUGCCUACUGAUAUCCUCAGGAAAGUGGGAAAAUUGGACCCUGGCCUGCUAUGACAAUGCCCUGAAGCAGUCCGCACCAGGGGCUCCCUUGUGCCUGCAUAGCCUUUCCCAGGGUGUGCUCAAAUCCUGUGGCCACUAGGUGUCCUGGGUCACAAUGGAGGGCCCUGUGUCAUCUGCCUGUUGGGCUGGAUCUCUGCCAUUGGCUGAGUCUUGUCACCAGGCCCAUCAUAAGCUCUGCCCACUCUUCCUGUGGGGGGACUGUCUCCAUGGUGAUGGCAAAGAAGCCUGAGUUCCGCCCACCUGGCCUUGACUUCACCUACCUGGCCUGCUGACCCUCACUCAGACCUCUGUGUUGAUCAAAAUGAGUGUCCGCCAGUGGCCAGGUGUCAGCAUCUGGGAUAAAGGAUUGGGGACCUUGCCUGGGGCAGAAGGCAGCCUAGGUCUGUGGGUACCUGGAAGUCUUGUGACUUCUGCCGCUGCUGCCAGUGACAGAUGGUGACUCCCACACUCACAUAUCCCCUGGUGGCAGAAGGAUAGUGAUGGGCGGAGAAACAUGGCUCCGGAGCACACUUUAAAUGCGGCACCAGCCAAAGGCCAGGGCAAGGAGUGGACGUCGUGGAGCUUAAUUGCAAGCCAGUGAAGGGCCCAAGGAUUUCUCCUAUAUGUGGCAAACAGGUCAUCCGUGUCCCCACGUCCAUAAACCACUGGACUGCAGUGCCAGACUGCCAGGAUUUCGGCCUUGCCAUUGGAGCCCGUCCACAUACGCUGCGUUGCACCGGAGGCGGGGACAUGUAGACAGCAAAAAUUUGGAAAAUGGCAUCAUCUCUUCAAUUUCCCUAGCAUUGGCCUUUUUCAGUGGCAUGCUUUGUUUCCUAGUAGGAUAAGGCACUGACGGAGAAAGGCAGGAGUAUGUGUGUAGGAAAGGUGUGUGCCGAAAGGGUGACGACGUUGAGACCACGUUGGGAUCUUUAGUCCCAGGAAAGGCCCCUGGCAGGUGUGGGUCAAUGUUCUCUGCUCAUCCGAGUUGGCGGGGGAGGUUUUCACCAAACAAAGCAGCACUGGAAUUAUUCGUAGCCUGAGAGGUUGCAUCUGCCCACAAGCUCCACCUGGCCAGGGUCCGCCCCUACUGUAUUGCCCAUGUCAAUCAACAGAAGCUAAGACCUUCCAGAGAGACUACCUGCUAUUGUCUACCCACCGGGAAGCGGUCCAGCCAGAAGCCUCCCCCGUUUCAUCUCCAGGCUCUCUGUCAGGCCCCUCAUACUUGUGAUGUGUCUCAGGGGUAGAAGGAAGAGAUUUCUCUGAAUGAACACAUCCAGAGAGGAGCCAUAGAUGCUGAGGAAGGGCGCCUUGUCUACUGAUAUCCUAGCGUAAGUGUAAAAGAGGUACCUGCCUGCUGUCCCAGUGUGUCGAACGUGUCCACAUCAGGGGUUGGCUACUGUAAAAUUAUUCCCUGGUGCCCUCGAUUUUGUGGCCAAAGACACGAGGGGCCGUUGUGUGUCCAUGGGUACAAUGGAGGGCUCUGCGGAACGGGCUGGUUAGGCUGGACUUCUCCUAUUGGCUCAGUGUUUGUGACUCGUCCCCGUCAGAAGUUCCGCCCAGCCUUCUGGUGGCUGUCUCCAUGAGGAUUGGGAAAGAAGCCCUAGGCCCCGCACUCGGCCUUCACCUGGCCUACCUGGCCUCUUUACCCUCAUCUAGACCGCUCUGUGCAUGAAAGAAAGGAUGUCGGCCACUGACCAAGCAUCCUCAUUUCCUUGGAAGUAUUAGGCUCCUUGCGUGGGCAGAAGACAGCCAAGGUCAGCCUGAGCCUAGACACCUAGUGACCUGUGACACUGCAGCCAGCGAUAGAUGUUGAUGUCCACGCUCAGGUAUCCGCAGUUGACGGAUUCAGAGUGGUCAGAGGAGAAGUGUAACUAGAGAUCACACACUCAUGAGGGCACGGGCCAAAGGUCAGGGAAAAUAGCUGAGGUCGUGGAGCUCUAGCGGAGCCAGUCAAGGGCCCAGGCCUCCCUCCUGUACGUGGCAAAGAGGUGUCACCUUCCGCAGAGUAUGCUGCCACCCGCAGACUCUGGACUGCUGGGGCCCUGGAUGCCCGGAUUUCGGCCUUGUGUUUGGAGAAGUGACGUGCAUGCAGUGUGCCACCGGGGGCUGUGGCCCAGCAGAAGCAAAAUCUUGAAAAUGGGAGCUUCAGUUGACUUUGCGUGUUCUCUCCCUUGGCUGAGUGCCAUCCUGUGUUUCCUAGCAGGAGAAGGCAUUCGUGGAGAAAGGCAGAUUCCAUGUGUGCAGGCAAAGUGUGUGCUGACAUGAUGAGACCCUGGAGACCAGGGUGGACUCUUCAGACCCAGGACAGGCCUCUGGCAGGUAUGUGUCAAUGUUUUCUGCCCGUGGCACUCAACCGGGUAUUUGCAUACAGUGUCAUCAGCAGAAUUAGUAGUCUCCGGAGAGGCUACCACAUGUCAGCAAGCUUCACCUGGCCAGAGUCCACCCGUGAUGUAGCUCCCCAAUCAGUCACUACUGUCUAGACCUUCCAGAUAGACUAGCAGAUCUUCUCUGCCCAUGGGCAACCAGUAGAGCCAGAGGCCUUCCCCCUUUGCUCUUUCGUCUCUAGGCACUCUAUCAGGCACUCCAAGCUGUGAAGUGACUCAGGGAGAGAAGGAAGAGAUUUCAGAGAAUGAACACAUACAGAGAGAGAGGCAAGAGAUGCUGAGUGGGGAUGUCUUGCGUACUGAUAUCCUCAGGAAAGUGGGAAAAUUGGACCCUGGCCUGCUCUGCCAAUGCCGUGAAGCAGUCCACUCCAGGGGCUCCCUUGUGCCUGCAUAGCCUUUCCCAGGGUGUGCUCAAAUCCUGUGGCCACUAGGUGUCCUAGGUCACAAUGGAGGACCCUGUGUCAUCUGCCUGGCGGACUGGAUCUCUGCCAUUGGCUGAGUCUUGUCACCAGGCCCAUCAUAAGCUCUGCCCACUCUUCCGGUGGGGAGACUCUCUCCAUGGUGAUGGCAAAGAAACCUUAGUCCUGCCCACCUGGCCUUCACUUCACGUACCUGGCCUGCUGACCCUCACUCAGACCUCUGUGUUGAUCAAAAUGAAUGUCCGCCAGUGGCCCGGUGUCAGCGUCUGGUAUAAAGGAUUCGGGACUGUGCCUGAGGCAGAAGGCAGCCUAGGUCUGCGGGUACCUGGAAGUCUAGUGACUUGUGACGCUGCUGCCAGUGACAAAUGGUGACUCCCACACUCACAUAUCCCCUGGUGGCAGAAGGAUA
This is a long non-coding RNA of Loxodonta africana (African savanna elephant), 4884 nucleotides long. RefSeq lists it as uncharacterized. The transcript is spliced from 6 exons. NCBI's taxonomy places the organism in Eukaryota, Metazoa, Chordata, Mammalia, Proboscidea, Elephantidae. The record is from RefSeq and is a predicted model, not a curated record.